UACGUAGGUGACCAGCGUUGUCCGGAUUUACUGGGCGUAAAGAGCGCGCAGGCGGUCGUUCAAGUCGAGUGUGAAAGCCCCCGGCUCAACUGGGGAGGGUCACUCGAUACUGAUCGACUUGAAGGCAGGAGAGGGAAGCGGAAUUCCCGGUGUAGUGGUGAAAUGCGUAGAUAUCUGGAGGAACACCGGUGGCGAAGGCGGCGUUCUGGACUGCUACUGACACUGAGGAACGAAAGCCAGGGGAGCAAACGGG
RNAcentral lists this ribosomal RNA (253 nucleotides) under uncultured bacterium. Its description in RNAcentral is "partial 16S ribosomal RNA". It matches the Rfam family "Bacterial small subunit ribosomal RNA", at positions 524 to 776 of the family's 1533-position model. The record is from RNAcentral.